RNAcentral lists this long non-coding RNA (344 nucleotides) under Setaria viridis. RNAcentral describes it as "long non-coding RNA (SVIR_LNC001433)". The record is from RNAcentral. Lineage: Eukaryota; Viridiplantae; Streptophyta; Magnoliopsida; Poales; Poaceae.
UUCUAUAUUCGGGAUGGCAGGGCGCCGGCACGAUGGAACAGGUCCAUAGGGAGCCACAAACCCUGGACAUUGGAUUCACCAUUACUAGUCAAUGAACCCAUGCUCCCGCACGAGCUAAUGUUUUUAGAAGCUAUUGUAUUUAAAAAUUAUAUAGAAAUUAAACUCCUAGCUAAUAAUCAAAAUUGUUUAUCUACUACUCUCUUAUUUUUCAAUACUUCAACAUAAUACUUAUAUAGAUAUGUACCUAUCUUUGUCCAGUUGCGAUUGAUUUUUAAUUAAUAAUUACUCUGCACUUUUUCAUCCAUAUUCAUAUUUUUUCCAUUUUGUAUCACACCUCCCAUCCU